Molecule: ribosomal RNA, 305 nt
Filed under: uncultured fungus
Lineage: Eukaryota; Fungi
Description: eukaryotic LSU rRNA
Rfam family: 5.8S ribosomal RNA (bases 1-52)
Source: RNAcentral
AACGCACCUUGCGCCCUUUGGUAUUCCGAAGGGCAUGCCUGUUUGAGUGUCAUUAAAUUCUCAACCUCCCCUUCUUUCAUUAGGAGUGCGGUGGAUUGGAUAUGGGGGUUUGCUGGUUUCUCUAUUGAAAUUAGCUCCCCUGAAAUACAUUAGCUGGUUGCCUUGUGUAAACUUGUCUAUUGGUGUGAUAAUUAUCUACGCCGUGGACUAUUUGCCGUUUUUAGCACUGCUUAUAAUCGUCUGUUCAUUCGGACAAUAUAUGACAAUUUGACCUCAAAUCAGGUAGGACUACCCGCUGAACUUAA